RNAcentral lists this long non-coding RNA (229 nucleotides) under Manihot esculenta (cassava). Its description in RNAcentral is "long non-coding RNA (MESC_LNC004132)". The record is from RNAcentral. Lineage: Eukaryota; Viridiplantae; Streptophyta; Magnoliopsida; Malpighiales; Euphorbiaceae.
GACUCGCCAUUCUACUAUUAUUAGCAUCAUCAUGCUCAUCAAUGGAGAUAGACGGAGGUGGCAGUCCAAUCUAGAUGAGUCAUGACUAGUGAGACAUCCUAUUUUAUUGUCAUUCGAAUAAGGGUGUUCUGUCAUACUUAUUCCUAACUCUUUAGGAAUGGAGCAUCUGCCAAAUACUAAUGGAAUAAAACUUUAUAUUUAAUUAAACACAUUUAAUAUUAAAACAAAG